AGAACGAACGCUGGCGGCACGCCUAACACAUGCAAGUCGAGCGCCCAGCAAUGGGAGCGGCGGACGGGUGAGGAACACGUGGGAACAUGCCUUUCGGUUCGGCACAACUGCGGGAAACUGCAGCUAAUUCCGGAUACGCCCUUACGGGGAAAGAUUUAUCGCCGAAAGAUUGGCCCGCGUCUGAUUAGCUAGUUGGUGAGGUAAUGGCUCACCAAGGCUUCGAUCAGUAGCUGGUUUGAGAGAACGACCAGCCACACUGGGACUGAGACACGGCCCAGACUCCUACGGGAGGCAGCAGUGGGGAAUCUUGGACAAUGGAGGAAACUCUGAUCCAGCGAUGCCGCGUGAGUGAUGAAGGCCUUCGGGUUGUAAAACUCUUUUACCAGGGAAGAUAAUGACUGUACCUGGAGAAUAAGCCCCGGCUAACUUCGUGCCAGCAGCCGC
This 444-nucleotide ribosomal RNA is filed under the name uncultured bacterium. RNAcentral's name for it is "SSU rRNA". It matches the Rfam family "Bacterial small subunit ribosomal RNA", at positions 26 to 518 of the family's 1533-position model. The record is from RNAcentral.